Molecule: ribosomal RNA, 497 nt
Filed under: uncultured bacterium
Lineage: Bacteria
Description: partial 16S ribosomal RNA
Rfam family: Bacterial small subunit ribosomal RNA
Source: RNAcentral
GAUGAACGCUGGCGGCGUGCCUAAUACAUGCAAGUCGAGCGAACGGACGAGAAGCUUGCUUUUCUGAUGUUAGCGGCGGACGGGUGAGUAACACGUGGAUAACCUACCUAUAAGACUGGGAUAACUUCGGGAAACCGGAGCUAAUACCGGAUAAUAUUUUGAACCGCAUGGUUCAAAAGUGAAAGACGGUCUUGCUGUCACUUAUGGAUGGAUCCGCGCUGCAUUAGCUAGUUGGUAAGGUAACGGCUUACCAAGGCAACGAUGCAUAGCCGACCUGAGAGGGUGAUAGGCCACACUGGAACUGAGACACGGUCCAGACUCCUACGGGAGGCAGCAGUAGGGAAUCUUCCGCAAUGGGCGAAAGCCUGACGGAGCAACGCCGCGUGAGUGAUGAAGGUCUUCGGAUCGUAAAACUCUGUUAUUAGGGAAGAACAUAUGUGUAAGUAACUGUGCACAUCUUGACGGUACCUAAUCAGAAAGCCACGGCUAACUACGUG